This 526-nucleotide ribosomal RNA is filed under the name bacterium A3S_VP5_G6. RNAcentral describes it as "partial 16S ribosomal RNA". It matches the Rfam family "Bacterial small subunit ribosomal RNA", at positions 337 to 856 of the family's 1533-position model. The record is from RNAcentral.
UUAAUCGGGAGGGAAGUGUUAGGGAUCCUCCGGAAGGGACGAAAGUUUGAACGAACCACCCCCCCGGGAUGGAGGAGGGUUUCCGAACCGAAAGCCCCGGUUGCCAGGAAGAACGCCUGGGAAAAUAACCGGUCCCAAGGGGGCCGGACCUGGAAAAAAAGCCCCCGAUAAAUUCCUGGCAACAGCCGGGGUAAUUCCUAAGGGGCAAGCGUUGGCCCGAAAUUUUGGGCGUAAAACGGGCCCCAGCCGGUGAAUAAGUCUGGGGUUUAAGGCCGGGGGUCCACCACGCGUCCCACCGGAAACCGGAUUACCUGAGGGGCGAAAAAGAAAGCGGAAAUCCACCUGUAACCGUCAAAUGCCCAAAAAAGUGGAAGAACCACCAUGGGAAAAGGCAAUUUUCGGGCUGGUACUUAAGCUGAAGCCCCAAAUCGAGGGGGACCAACCGGAAUAGAAACCCCUGGUAUUCCCCCCGUAAAACAAGAAUGCCUAGGGUAAGGGUUUCGAUACCCUUUGUGGCCAAAUUUAC